UGAGGAAUAUUGGUCAAUGGGCGGAAGCCUGAACCAGCCAAGUAGCGUGAAGGAUGAAGGUUCUAUGGAUUGUAAACUUCUUUUAUACGGGAAUAACGGUUCUCACGUGUGGGAAUGUGCAUGUACCGUAUGAAUAAGCAUCGGCUAACUCCGUGCCAGCAGCCGCGGUAAUACGGAGGAUGCGAGCGUUAUCCGGAUUUAUUGGGUUUAAAGGGAGCGCAGACGGGAUGUUAAGUCAGCUGUGAAAGUUUGCGGCUCAACCGUAAAAUUGCAGUUGAUACUGGCGUUCUUGAGUGCAGUUGAGGUGUGCGGAAUUCGUGGUGUAGCGGUGAAAUGCUUAGAUAUCACGAAGAACUCCUAUUGCGAAGGCAGCUCACUAAACUGCAACUGACGUUCAUGCUCGAAAGUGUGGGUAUCAAACAG
This 423-nucleotide ribosomal RNA is filed under the name uncultured bacterium. Its description in RNAcentral is "bacterial SSU rRNA". It matches the Rfam family "Bacterial small subunit ribosomal RNA", at positions 355 to 775 of the family's 1533-position model. The record is from RNAcentral.